Molecule: long non-coding RNA, 972 nt
Organism: Mauremys reevesii (Reeves's turtle)
Lineage: Eukaryota; Metazoa; Chordata; Testudines; Geoemydidae
Exons: 6
Source: RefSeq, a predicted model, not a curated record
UCUGCGCAGGCACCCUGGCCUGCUGCAGCCCAUUCUCACAGGGAGUGGGGCAAUCCGCCCCACUACACAGCCGUACUCAGAGGCCCAUCACAGCCAUAGCCACACUAGCAUUACAUCAUCUCAUUAGCAUGGCCACUCCCAUAUUUGUAACAUAAUAUCUCUCUUCACAAGGCGGAAUGGUGGGGAAAGGGAGACCAGGGAGCCAGGAGAGGGUGGUCAACAGGGAAGUGGUAUAUUUACCAGCACAAAGGAAACAAGGCCUGAAAUGAUAUAGUACCAGCAGAACAGCUCCUGUUGGUGGAUUGUUACAUUGCCCCAAGAAAUGGCUGUGGAGUGGAGCCUUGACUUCCGAUUAGACCACAAAAGGAAGUCAUCCAAAGGUGUAAAUUUCAGCGAUACAGGAACCUCAAAGGGCAGUAACUCCUAUACAAGUGUCACGUUUCUGAUUUUCCUUGGGUUGACUGGAUAAUCAGUAGGUCUUCGAGGUGAUACUCUGUUCUGCUGCACCUUAUAAGCUCUUCAGCCACACAAAAGAAAAUAGUAGUCCAUGGAUGAAGCUAAGGAUAAAACUGGUGCACAGCUCACUUCAGGAAUCGCUCUGUUGGACGUUGUGGAUGAUCAGCUCUGAGGUAAAAGUCUCACCACUGGUAUAAUUUUGCUGAGUGAAGCGAUCUAGUGUUACAACAGCUCCUCCAAGGAGGACAUAGGCCUAAAUCAAUAUGAGCUUCCAUUGUGCCAGGCGAUGGAGAAACAUCAUAAGAAACAGCCCUGCCAUGAACUCUGCAACCUAAAUAGAAAAGGAGGUAUUCUUACCCCUAUUUUUCCGAUUGGGAACAAAGGACGUCCGUGGAAGAACCAGGAACUAAGCCCAGCUCUCUGAGUCUAAGACUAAUGCUUUAACCACAGAAUUAGCAUUCCUCUCUAAUGUACAGUGUUCCCUAAUUCAGCAAAUACACUUCAAUACCAAUUUCA